GAUGAACGCUGGCGGCGUGCCUAAUACAUGCAAGUCGAGCGAACGGACGAGAAGCUUGCUUCUCUGAUGUUAGCGGCGGACGGGUGAGUAACACGUGGAUAACCUACCUAUAAGACUGGGAUAACUUCGGGAAACCGUAGCUAAUACCGGAUAAUAUUUUGAACCGCAUGGUUCAAAAGUGAAAGACGGUCUUGCUGUCACUUAUAGAUGGAUCCGCGCUGCAUUAGCUAGUUGGUAAGGUAACGGCUUACCAAGGCAACGAUGCAUAGCCGACCUGAGAGGGUGAUCAGCCACACUGGAACUGAGACACGGUCCAGACUCCUACGGGAGGCAGCAGUAGGGAAUCUUCCGCAAUGGGCGAAAGCCUGACGGAGCAACGCCGCGCGAGUGAUGAAGGUCUUCGGAUCGUAAAACUCUGUUAUUAGGGAAGAACAUAUGUGUAAGUAACUGUGCACAUCUUGACGGUACCUAAUCAGAAAGCCACGGCUAACUACGUG
This 497-nucleotide ribosomal RNA is filed under the name uncultured bacterium. RNAcentral describes it as "partial 16S ribosomal RNA". It matches the Rfam family "Bacterial small subunit ribosomal RNA", at positions 28 to 507 of the family's 1533-position model. The record is from RNAcentral.